This 242-nucleotide ribosomal RNA is filed under the name Lysinibacillus fusiformis. RNAcentral's name for it is "partial 16S ribosomal RNA". It matches the Rfam family "Bacterial small subunit ribosomal RNA", at positions 1 to 231 of the family's 1533-position model. Lineage: Bacteria; Bacillati; Bacillota; Bacilli; Caryophanales; Bacillaceae. The record is from RNAcentral.
UUUAUGGAGAGUUUGAUCCUGGCUCAGGACGAACGCUGGCGGCGUGCCUAAUACAUGCAAGUCGAGCGAACAGAGAAGGAGCUUGCUCCUUCGACGUUAGCGGCGGACGGGUGAGUAACACGUGGGCAACCUACCUUAUAGUUUGGGAUAACUCCGGGAAACCGGGGCUAAUACCGAAUAAUCUGUUUCACCUCAUGGUGAAACACUGAAAGACGGUUUCGGCUGUCGCUAUAGGAUGGGCC